AUGCAUGUGCUGGCUCAUUAAGUCACGUGAUUGACACGUGAACUGCGUUGACACAGUCCAGGCGUCUAAUUGACACACCGGCUGCGUUGACACAGUCCAGGCUGCUAAUUGACACACCGGCUGCGUUGACACAGUCCAGGCUGCUAAUUGACACAUCGGCUGCGUUGACACAGUCCAGGCUGCUAAUUGACACGUGAACUGCACCGGUGCAGUUUAGACCGCAUCGGCUGCUUGGCACAGUACAGGCUGCGCCACUUAGUCCAGGGGGCGUCGACUCAGUGCAGAGGGCGUUGACGCAGCAAAAGCCCGCCGCACAGUGUUUAUAAGGAAGUCGUUUGGCGACACAAUGCACCCUGCCGAAACAAGCCAGACCUCACUCACGCUCGCCGAAGUUCGUGUCAGUGCAGACUUCGUGUUCGUGCCUUGCCUUCCUUGCCGAUUAUGGAGCAGAGACGCAAAUCAUCCGCCGUGUGGGACCAUUUUGAUGUCCCGGAGAAUAAGGUGAAAUGUCGAAUUUGCCGGGUCGAAUUGUCAUACACCAACAGAAGCACCUCCACCAUGCUGAGGCAUUAUCGGGCCAAGCAUGAGAAUGAAGUUCGCGAUACACCCAGUAUUACGCCAGGUUGACUCUCCACUCCAUGUUUGACAAUCAAGGUUCCAGGAAGCAGCUGUACUGGAAGGACCAACACACUUCUUUCCCAAACCUCUCCCACCUCGCAAAGGAGUUCCUUUGUACGCCAGCCUCAUCCGUCCCUUGUGAGCGUGUGUUCUCCACAGCAGGAGAAAUCGCUUGUAAAAGACGCAACAGGCUGAAGUUUAAAACAUUGGAGCAUCUUAUUUUUCUCAAUAAAAACUUGUGAAAUA
This is a long non-coding RNA of Hippocampus zosterae (dwarf seahorse), 864 nucleotides long. RefSeq lists it as uncharacterized. The record is from RefSeq and is a predicted model, not a curated record. The transcript has 3 exons. Lineage: Eukaryota; Metazoa; Chordata; Actinopteri; Syngnathiformes; Syngnathidae.